GCGUCAGUAGUUCAGUGGUAGAACACUGGUUAACUAAGCAAGUGGUCCGGAGUUCGAUUUCCGGCUGACGCA
This 72-nucleotide transfer RNA is filed under the name Trichobilharzia regenti. It matches the Rfam family "tRNA". From Rfam's summary of the family: Transfer RNA (tRNA) molecules are approximately 80 nucleotides in length. Their secondary structure includes four short double-helical elements and three loops (D, anti-codon, and T loops). The record is from Rfam by way of RNAcentral. Lineage: Eukaryota; Metazoa; Platyhelminthes; Trematoda; Strigeidida; Schistosomatidae.